GAAAUUCUUUACGCGGUCUUAUUUUUCUCAACUAAAUUUUUUAUAGUGUAUACAACUGGUUUUUCUUACUUUAGCAUUGGACCUUUGUUUUAAGAAUGUGUUUCUAAUUUUAUUGCUAUAAAGGAAGAAUUUGAAAGAAUGCCACCUUUUUUGGCACUUUUUUCUUCUAUUUGACAUUUUUUUAUCCUCACUUCAUAGCUAAGUAUAGUUGGCAUCCCUGGUUAUAAUGAUACAAUUAGCGGUAUCGAAAGAAGGUACAUAUGGUAAUCAAUAGUAUAUGUAGCGUUCAUGAACCAAAAAUAUAACAUCACCUAAUCAAAGAAGCAAGAAGAAAGUUUAUUUCUGAGCGUUUUUGGCAUCUGCAGAAGAAUGAAAACAAA
Molecule: long non-coding RNA, 380 nt
Organism: Rhagoletis zephyria (snowberry fruit fly)
Lineage: Eukaryota; Metazoa; Arthropoda; Insecta; Diptera; Tephritidae
Source: RefSeq, a predicted model, not a curated record